Molecule: ribosomal RNA, 489 nt
Filed under: Klebsiella pneumoniae
Lineage: Bacteria; Pseudomonadati; Pseudomonadota; Gammaproteobacteria; Enterobacterales; Enterobacteriaceae
Description: bacterial SSU rRNA
Rfam family: Bacterial small subunit ribosomal RNA
Source: RNAcentral
CUUGCUCUCUGAUUCAGCGGCGGACGGGUGAGUAAUGCCUAGGAAUCUGCCUGAUAGUGGGGGACAACGUUUCGAAAGGAACGCUAAUACCGCAUACGUCCUACGGGAGAAAGCAGGGGACCUUCGGGCCUUGCGCUAUCAGAUGAGCCUAGGUCGGAUUAGCUAGUUGGUGAGGUAACGGCUCACCAAGGCGACGAUCCGUAACUGGUCUGAGAGGAUGAUCAGUCACACUGGAACUGAGACACGGUCCAGACUCCUACGGGAGGCAGCAGUGGGGAAUAUUGGACAAUGGGCGAAAGCCUGAUCCAGCCAUGCCGCGUGUGUGAAGAAGGUCUUCGGAUUGUAAAGCACUUUAAGUUGGGAGGAAGGGCAUUAACCUAAUACGUUAGUGUUUUGACGUUACCGACAGAAUAAGCACCGGCUAACUUCGUGCCAGCAGCCGCGGUAAUACGAAGGGUGCAAGCGUUAAUCGGAAUUACUGGGCGUAAA